RNAcentral lists this ribosomal RNA (253 nucleotides) under uncultured bacterium. Its description in RNAcentral is "partial 16S ribosomal RNA". It matches the Rfam family "Bacterial small subunit ribosomal RNA", at positions 83 to 339 of the family's 1533-position model. The record is from RNAcentral.
GGAUGCUGACGAGUGGCGAACGGGUGAGUAAUAUAUCGGAACGUGCCCAGUCGUGGGGGAUAACGCAGCGAAAGCUGUGCUAAUACCGCAUACGAUCUACGGAUGAAAGCGGGGGACCGCAAGGCCUCGCACUAUUGGAAUGGCCGAUGUCGGAUUAGCUAGUUGGUAGGGUAAAGGCUCACCAAGCCGACGAUCUAUAGCUGGUCUGAGAGGACGACCAGCCACACUGGAACUGAGACACGGUCCAGACUCC